This 253-nucleotide ribosomal RNA is filed under the name uncultured bacterium. Its description in RNAcentral is "partial 16S ribosomal RNA". It matches the Rfam family "Bacterial small subunit ribosomal RNA", at positions 524 to 776 of the family's 1533-position model. The record is from RNAcentral.
UACGUAGGGGGCAAGCGUUGUCCGGAAUCAUUGGGCGUAAAGAGCGUGUAGGCGGCUUGGUAAGUCCGAUGUGAAAGUCCAGGGCUCAACCCUGGAAUGGCGGUGGAAACUGUCAAGCUUGAGUCCGGAAGAGGCGAGUGGAAUUCCUGGUGUAGCGGUGAAAUGCGCAGAUAUCAGGAGGAACACCAAUGGCGAAGGCAGCUCGCUGGGACGGUACUGACGCUGAGACGCGAAAGCGUGGGGAGCAAACAGG